GACGAACGUUGGCGGCGUGCCUAAUACAUGCAAGUAGAACGCUGAAGAGAGGAGCUUGCUCUUCUUGGAUGAGUUGCGAACGGGUGAGUAACGCGUAGGUAACCUGCCUUGUAGCGGGGGAUAACUAUUGGAAACGAUAGCUAAUACCGCAUAACAAUGGAUGACCCAUGUCAUUUAUUUGAAAGGGGCAAAUGCUCCACUACAAGAUGGACCUGCGUUGUAUUAGCUAGUAGGUGAGGUAACGGCUCACCUAGGCGACGAUACAUAGCCGACCUGAGAGGGUGAUCGGCCACACUGGGACUGAGACACGGCCCAGACUCCUACGGGAGGCAGCAGUAGGGAAUCUUCGGCAAUGGGGGCAACCCUGACCGAGCAACGCCGCGUGAGUGAAGAAGGUUUUCGGAUCGUAAAGCUCUGUUGUAAGUCAAGAACGAGUGUGAGAGUGGAAAGUUCACACUGUGACGGUAGCUUACCAGAAAGGGACGGCUAACUACGUGCCAGCAGCCGCGGUAAUACGUAGGUCCCGAGCGUUGUCCGGGUUUAUUGGGCGUAAAGCGAGCGCAGGCGGUCUGAUAAGUCUGAAGUUAAAGGCUGUGGCUCAACCAUAGUUCGCUUUGGAAACUGUCAAACUUGAGUGCAGAAGGGGAGAGUGGAAUUCCAUGUGUAGCGGUGAAAUGCGUAGAUAUAUGGAGGAACACCGGUGGCGAAAGCGGCUCUCUGGUCUGUAACUGACGCUGAGGCUCGAAAGCGUGGGGAGCGAACAGGAUUAGAUACCCUGGUAGUCCACGCCGUAAACGAUGAGUGCUAGGUGUUGGAUCCUUUCCGGGAUUCAGUGCCGCAGCUAACGCAUUAAGCACUCCGCCUGGGGAGUACGACCGCAAGGUUGAAACUCAAAGGAAUUGACGGGGGCCCGCACAAGCGGUGGAGCAUGUGGUUUAAUUCGAAGCAACGCGAAGAACCUUACCAGGUCUUGACAUCCCGAUGCUAUUUCUAGAGAUAGAAAGUUACUUCGGUACAUCGGUGACAGGUGGUGCAUGGUUGUCGUCAGCUCGUGUCGUGAGAUGUUGGGUUAAGUCCCGCAACGAGCGCAACCCCUAUUGUUAGUUGCCAUCAUUCAGUUGGGCACUCUAGCGAGACUGCCGGUAAUAAACCGGAGGAAGGUGGGGAUGACGUCAAAUCAUCAUGCCCCUUAUGACCUGGGCUACACACGUGCUACAAUGGUUGGUACAACGAGUUGCGAGUCGGUGACGGCAAGCUAAUCUCUUAAAGCCAAUCUCAGUUCGGAUUGUAGGCUGCAACUCGCCUACAUGAAGUCGGAAUCGCUAGUAAUCGCGGAUCAGCACGCCGCGGUGAAUACGUUCCCGGGCCU
Molecule: ribosomal RNA, 1369 nt
Filed under: uncultured bacterium
Lineage: Bacteria
Description: bacterial SSU rRNA
Rfam family: Bacterial small subunit ribosomal RNA
Source: RNAcentral